RNAcentral lists this non-coding RNA (210 nucleotides) under Pseudonocardia sp. Lineage: Bacteria; Bacillati; Actinomycetota; Actinomycetes; Pseudonocardiales; Pseudonocardiaceae. The record is from RNAcentral.
AGUGUCCGCGUCGUUGGUGGUUCACCGGCCCGCACGGGCCGGUGAGGCAAGAGGGAACCCGGUGGGAAACCGGGACUGCCCCGCAGCGGUGAGUGGGAACGACCGCCGUCAUGAGCACUGGGAGCGAUCCCGGGAAGCGACGGCCAGUAGGUGGGCACGCGAGUGUCCGGGCCCGCGAGUCCGAAGACCUGCCACCGGCGCGUGCGCCGA